GGGUAAACAAUUUUUCUGCCCUUCACCUUCCAUAUCUAUGAAAUAAGGACAAUAAUACUUACUAGACAGGAACCUCUGCCUUUUUCCACUAUCAACACUUCCCUGGCCUCUGGAGACAUGACUUCUUAAUCCUCCUCCAAUACAUCUUUUUGUAGCAAAACUGAAAAGAAGCUAGCUGUGUGGAAGGAGGGGCUGGUCUUACAGACUCCUGAUGAACCUGUGAUAUUCUUGCUCUGCUGCAACACAACAGACGCUCCUCUCUUCUGCCUGGGUCUGCCCUUGAGACACAGUAAUGGGUGGUGCAAGGCCCUGCGGCAGCAUCAGGCAUUCGCUCCAUGCCCAGAGCUGACAGAGUGUCCUGAGUGAUGGCACAGCACCCCCAAACACACCGGCGGGGCCUCCGUCUAUAGCCGCACCAGACGACAGUGACUCUAACCUCCAC
Microcebus murinus (gray mouse lemur) is the source of this 442-nucleotide non-coding RNA. The record is from RefSeq and is a predicted model, not a curated record. Lineage: Eukaryota; Metazoa; Chordata; Mammalia; Primates; Cheirogaleidae.